RNAcentral lists this ribosomal RNA (301 nucleotides) under uncultured bacterium. RNAcentral describes it as "partial 16S ribosomal RNA". It matches the Rfam family "Bacterial small subunit ribosomal RNA", at positions 509 to 809 of the family's 1533-position model. The record is from RNAcentral.
CAGUAGCCGCGGUAAUACGAAGGGGGCUAGCGUUGUUCGGAUUUACUGGGCGUAAAGCGCACGUAGGCGGACUUUUAAGUCAGGGGUGAAAUCCCGGGGCUCAACCCCGGAACUGCCUUUGAUACUGGAAGUCUUGAGUAUGGUAGAGGUGAGUGGAAUUCCGAGUGUAGAGGUGAAAUUCGUAGAUAUUCGGAGGAACACCAGUGGCGAAGGCGGCUCACUGGACCAUUACUGACGCUGAGGUGCGAAAGCGUGGGGAGCAAACAGGAUUAGAUACCCGGGUAGUCCCUGUCUCUUAUAA